Molecule: ribosomal RNA, 253 nt
Filed under: uncultured bacterium
Lineage: Bacteria
Description: partial 16S ribosomal RNA
Rfam family: Bacterial small subunit ribosomal RNA
Source: RNAcentral
UACGUAGGGGGCCAGCGUUGUUCGGAAUUACUGGGUGUAAAGGGUUCGUAGGCGGUGUGGCAAGUUGGGAGUGAAAUCUCUGGGCUCAACCCAGAGACGGCUUCCAAAACUGCCGUGCUUGAGUGUGGGAGAGGCUCGUGGAAUUGCAGGUGUAGCGGUGAAAUGCGUAGAUAUCUGGAGGAACACCGGUGGCGAAGGCGGCAUCCUGGACCAAUUCUGACACUGAGGAGCGAAAGCCAGGGGAGCAAACGGG